CCUACGGGAGGCAGCAGUGAGGAAUAUUGGUCAAUGGACGAGAGUCUGAACCAGCCAAGUAGCGUGAAGGAUGACUGCCCUAUGGGUUGUAAACUUCUUUUAUAUGGGAAUAAAAUGUUCCACGUGUGGGAUUUUGUAUGUACCAUAUGAAUAAGGAUCGGCUAACUCCGUGCCAGCAGCCGCGGUAAUACGGAGGAUCCUAGCGUUAUCCGGAUUUCUUGGGUUUAAAUGGAGCGUAGGUGGAUUGUUAAGUCAGUUGUGAAAGUUUGCGGCUCAACCGUAAAAUUGCAGUUGAAACUGGCAGUCUUGAGUACAGUAGAGGUGGGCGGAAUUCGUGGUGUAGCGGUGAAAUGCGUAGAUAUCACGAAGAACUCCGAUUGCGAAGGCAGCUCACUGGACUGCAACUGACACUGAGGCUCGAAAGUGUGGGUAUCAAACAGGAUUAGAUACCCCUGUAGUC
Molecule: ribosomal RNA, 460 nt
Filed under: uncultured bacterium
Lineage: Bacteria
Description: partial 16S ribosomal RNA
Rfam family: Bacterial small subunit ribosomal RNA
Source: RNAcentral